GGGUUGUGAGGUUAAGCGACUAAGCGUACACGGUGGAUGCCCUGGCAGUCAGAGGCGAUGAAGGACGUGCUAAUCUGCGAUAAGCGUCGGUAAGGUGAUAUGAACCGUUAUAACCGGCGAUUUCCGAAUGGGGAAACCCAGUGUGAUUCGUCACACUAUCAUUAACUGAAUCCAUAGGUUAAUGAGGCGAACCGGGGGAACUGAAACAUCUAAGUACCCCGAGGAAAAGAAAUCAACCGAGAUUCCCCCAGUAGCGGCGAGCGAACGGGGAGGAGCCCAGAGCCUGAAUCAGUGUGUGUGUUAGUGGAAGCGUCUGGAAAGGCGCGCGAUACAGGGUGACAGCCCCGUACACAAAAAUGCACAUGCUGUGAGCUCGAUGAGUAGGGCGGGACACGUGGUAUCCUGUCUGAAUAUGGGGGGACCAUCCUCCAAGGCUAAAUACUCCUGACUGACCGAUAGUGAACCAGUACCGUGAGGGAAAGGCGAAAAGAACCCCGGCGAGGGGAGUGAAAAAGAACCUGAAACCGUGUACGUACAAGCAGUGGGAGCACAGAGCAAUCUGUGUGACUGCGUACCUUUUGUAUAAUGGGUCAGCGACUUAUAUUCUGUAGCAAGGUUAACCGAAUAGGGGAGCCGAAGGGAAACCGAGUCUUAACUGGGCGUUAAGUUGCAGGGUAUAGACCCGAAACCCGGUGAUCUAGCCAUGGGCAGGUUGAAGGUUGGGUAACACUAACUGGAGGACCGAACCGACUAAUGUUGAAAAAUUAGCGGAUGACUUGUGGCUGGGGGUGAAAGGCCAAUCAAACCGGGAGAUAGCUGGUUCUCCCCGAAAGCUAUUUAGGUAGCGCCUCGUGAAUUCAUCUCCGGGGGUAGAGCACUGUUUCGGCAAGGGGGUCAUCCCGACUUACCAACCCGAUGCAAACUGCGAAUACCGGAGAAUGUUAUCACGGGAGACACACGGCGGGUGCUAACGUCCGUCGUGAAGAGGGAAACAACCCAGACCGCCAGCUAAGGUCCCAAAGUCAUGGUUAAGUGGGAAACGAUGUGGGAAGGCCCAGACAGCCAGGAUGUUGGCUUAGAAGCAGCCAUCAUUUAAAGAAAGCGUAAUAGCUCACUGGUCGAGUCGGCCUGCGCGGAAGAUGUAACGGGGCUAAACCAUGCACCGAAGCUGCGGCAGCGACGCUUAUGCGUUGUUGGGUAGGGGAGCGUUCUGUAAGCCUGCGAAGGUGUGCUGUGAGGCAUGCUGGAGGUAUCAGAAGUGCGAAUGCUGACAUAAGUAACGAUAAAGCGGGUGAAAAGCCCGCUCGCCGGAAGACCAAGGGUUCCUGUCCAACGUUAAUCGGGGCAGGGUGAGUCGACCCCUAAGGCGAGGCCGAAAGGCGUAGUCGAUGGGAAACAGGUUAAUAUUCCUGUACUUGGUGUUACUGCGAAGGGGGGACGGAGAAGGCUAUGUUGGCCGGGCGACGGUUGUCCCGGUUUAAGCGUGUAGGCUGGUUUUCCAGGCAAAUCCGGAAAAUCAAGGCUGAGGCGUGAUGACGAGGCACUACGGUGCUGAAGCAACAAAUGCCCUGCUUCCAGGAAAAGCCUCUAAGCAUCAGGUAACAUCAAAUCGUACCCCAAACCGACACAGGUGGUCAGGUAGAGAAUACCAAGGCGCUUGAGAGAACUCGGGUGAAGGAACUAGGCAAAAUGGUGCCGUAACUUCGGGAGAAGGCACGCUGAUAUGUAGGUGAAGUCCCUCGCGGAUGGAGCUGAAAUCAGUCGAAGAUACCAGCUGGCUGCAACUGUUUAUUAAAAACACAGCACUGUGCAAACACGAAAGUGGACGUAUACGGUGUGACGCCUGCCCGGUGCCGGAAGGUUAAUUGAUGGGGUUAGCGCAAGCGAAGCUCUUGAUCGAAGCCCCGGUAAACGGCGGCCGUAACUAUAACGGUCCUAAGGUAGCGAAAUUCCUUGUCGGGUAAGUUCCGACCUGCACGAAUGGCGUAAUGAUGGCCAGGCUGUCUCCACCCGAGACUCAGUGAAAUUGAACUCGCUGUGAAGAUGCAGUGUACCCGCGGCAAGACGGAAAGACCCCGUGAACCUUUACUAUAGCUUGACACUGAACAUUGAGCCUUGAUGUGUAGGAUAGGUGGGAGG
RNAcentral lists this ribosomal RNA (2139 nucleotides) under Escherichia coli. Its description in RNAcentral is "partial 23S ribosomal RNA". It matches the Rfam family "Bacterial large subunit ribosomal RNA", at positions 1 to 2154 of the family's 2925-position model. The record is from RNAcentral. Lineage: Bacteria; Pseudomonadati; Pseudomonadota; Gammaproteobacteria; Enterobacterales; Enterobacteriaceae.